GACGAACGCUGGCGGCGUGCUUAACACAUGCAAGUCGAACGGAAAGGCCCUGCUUGCAGGGUACUCGAGUGGCGAACGGGUGAGUAACACGUGGGUGAUCUGCCCUGCACUUCGGGAUAAGCCUGGGAAACUGGGUCUAAUACCGGAUAGGAGACAUUUUUAGUGUGAUGGUUGGAAAGUUUUUUCGGUGUAGGAUGAGCUCGCGGCCUAUCAGCUUGUUGGUGGGGUAAUGGCCUACCAAGGCGGCGACGGGUAGCCGGCCUGAGAGGGUGGACGGCCACAUUGGGACUGAGAUACGGCCCAGACUCCUACGGGAGGCAGCAGUGGGGAAUAUUGCACAAUGGGCGCAAGCCUGGUGCAGCGACGCCGCGUGGGGGAUGACGGCCUUCGGGUUGUAAACUCCUUUCGCUAGGGACGAAGCUUUUUGUGACGGUACCUAGAUAAGAAGCACCGGCUAACUACGUG
This 465-nucleotide ribosomal RNA is filed under the name uncultured bacterium. RNAcentral describes it as "partial 16S ribosomal RNA". It matches the Rfam family "Bacterial small subunit ribosomal RNA", at positions 28 to 507 of the family's 1533-position model. The record is from RNAcentral.